UAUUGCACAAUGGGCGCAAGCCUGAUGCAGCGACGCCGCGUGAGGGAUGACGGCCUUCGGGUUGUAAACCUCUUUCAGCAGGGAAGAAGCGAAAGUGACGGUACCUGCAGAAGAAGCGCCGGCUAACUACGUGCCAGCAGCCGCGGUAAUACGUAGGGCGCGAGCGUUGUCCGGAAUUAUUGGGCGUAGAGAGCUUGUAGGCGGUUUGUUGCGUCUGCUGUGAAAGACCGGGGCUUAACCCCGGUAUUGCAGUGGGUACGGGCAGACUAGAGUGCAGUAGGGGAGACUGGAAUUCCUGGUGUAGCGGUGAAAUGCGCAGAUAUCAGGAGGAACACCGAUGGCGAAGGCAGGUCUCUGGGCUGUAACUGACGCUGAGAAGCGAAAGCAUGGGGAGCGAACAGG
This 402-nucleotide ribosomal RNA is filed under the name uncultured bacterium. RNAcentral describes it as "bacterial SSU rRNA". It matches the Rfam family "Bacterial small subunit ribosomal RNA", at positions 362 to 776 of the family's 1533-position model. The record is from RNAcentral.